GCCAAUAUGGCUCAGUGGUUGGAGCGUCAGCCUGCAGACUGAAGGGUUCGGAGUUCGAUUCUGGUUAGGGGCA
This 73-nucleotide transfer RNA is filed under the name Myotis lucifugus (little brown bat). It matches the Rfam family "tRNA". Rfam says of the family: Transfer RNA (tRNA) molecules are approximately 80 nucleotides in length. Their secondary structure includes four short double-helical elements and three loops (D, anti-codon, and T loops). Further hydrogen bonds mediate the characteristic L-shaped molecular structure. tRNAs have two regions of fundamental functional importance: the anti-codon, which is responsible for specific mRNA codon recognition, and the 3' end, to which the tRNAs corresponding amino acid is attached (by aminoacyl-tRNA synthetases). tRNAs cope with the degeneracy of the genetic code in two manners: having more than one tRNA (with a specific anti-codon) for a particular amino acid; and 'wobble' base-pairing, i.e. permitting non-standard base-pairing at the 3rd anti-codon position. Lineage: Eukaryota; Metazoa; Chordata; Mammalia; Chiroptera; Vespertilionidae. The record is from Rfam by way of RNAcentral.